GAUGAACGCUGACAGAAUGCUUAACACAUGCAAGUCUUUGGCGAAGCUGUGCUCGCACAGCCUAGCCAAGGCGGACGGGUGAGUAACGCGUAAGGAACUUGCCCUGCAGUCAGGGAUAACAGACGGAAACGACUGAUAAGACCUGGUAAAGUCAGGCGGACUCAUGUCCAGCCUGAUGAAAAGAGAUGCUGCAGGAGAGCCUUGCGUCCUAUUAGCUUGUUGGUGGGGUAACGGCCCACCAAGGCGAUGAUAGGUAGCCGGCCUGAGAGGGUGGACGGCCACAAGGGGACUGAGAUACGGCCCUGACUCCUACGGGAGGCAGCAGUGGGGAAUAUUGGACAAUGGGGGCAACCCUGAUCCAGCAAUUCUGUGUGCACGAUGAAGGUUUUCGGAUUGUAAAGUGCUUUCAGCAGGGAAGAAAAAAAUGACGGUACCUGCAGAAGAAGCGACGGCUAAAUACGUG
Molecule: ribosomal RNA, 463 nt
Filed under: uncultured bacterium
Lineage: Bacteria
Description: partial 16S ribosomal RNA
Rfam family: Bacterial small subunit ribosomal RNA
Source: RNAcentral